GAAAUGCGCAUAUGUGUUUCGGCAGCGUGAUGGCAAAAGUGUGUGUUUGUGUGUUUCGGCACAGGCACACUUUUCCAUCAACCACCACUUUUUGUCUGUUUGUUUUCAAUCACGACAAGCAUCUGUAAAAGCUUC
Non-coding RNA from Caenorhabditis elegans, 135 nucleotides. The record is from Ensembl. Lineage: Eukaryota; Metazoa; Nematoda; Chromadorea; Rhabditida; Rhabditidae.